ACCUCUGGCGUCGAGCGGCGGACGGGUGAGUAAUGCUUGGGAACAUGCCUUGAGGUGGGGGACAACCGUUGGAAACGACGGCUAAUACCGCAUAAUGUCUACGGACCAAAGGGGGCUUCGGCUCUCGCCUUUAGAUUGGCCCAAGUGGGAUUAGCUAGUUGGUGGGGUAAUGGCUCACCAAGGCGACGAUCCCUAGCUGGUUUGAGAGGAUGAUCAGCCACACUGGGACUGAGACACGGCCCAGACUCCUACGGGAGGCAGCAGUGGGGAAUAUUGCACAAUGGGCGCAAGCCUGAUGCAGCCAUGCCGCGUGUGUGAAGAAGGCCUUCGGGUUGUAAAGCACUUUCAGCAAGGAGGAAAGGGUGUAAGUUAAUACCUUACAUCUGUGACGUUACUUGCAGAAGAAGCACCGGCUAACUCCGUGCCAGCAGCCGCGGUAAUACGGAGGGUGCGAGCGUUAAUCGGAAUUACUGGGCGUAAAGCGUACGCAGGCGGUUUGUUAAGCGAGAUGUGAAAGCCCCGGGCUUAACCUGGGAACUGCAUUUCGAACUGGCAGGCUAGAGUGUGAUAGAGGGUGGUAGAAUUUCAGGUGUAGCGGUGAAAUGCGUAGAGAUCUGAAGGAAUACCGAUGGCGAAGGCAGCCACCUGGGUCAACACUGACGCUCAUG
This 668-nucleotide ribosomal RNA is filed under the name Pseudoalteromonas sp. GHL09. RNAcentral's name for it is "bacterial SSU rRNA". It matches the Rfam family "Bacterial small subunit ribosomal RNA", at positions 81 to 751 of the family's 1533-position model. The record is from RNAcentral. Lineage: Bacteria; Pseudomonadati; Pseudomonadota; Gammaproteobacteria; Alteromonadales; Pseudoalteromonadaceae.